UUUCAUUGUUUAAGUGUAAAUCUCUCGAGUAGACGCUGUCUCUUUAGAUGCAAGGGCAAAAUAGCACUUUAUGGACUUACACAGAGGACAUCAUGUUUAAUACGGUUCCGGAAAAAUCCAGUCAGAAGUUGUUCACGGAGUUUUCACAAUAACUGCUUCUCAUGAACUGAAGCUGCGCGACGUCUCCUCCUGAAAGUUGGAUUACCGUGCACUUCUGGAUCACAGGCUAUUCGCAGCUGGACACAUCCUUCUACACUGUAUGCAAACAUGCAACAUCAUUACACACAGUACAAGGAGUCAGACUGGCAUAUGAGGAGCAAAGGAACCCAGGCAGUAGCAUCGUUUCACAAUGUUUACAUCACCAUCAUCAGUGGAUGCCUUUGCCGUCCGUAGCCUGAGAUUUCAGAUUUGCAGCAAAAAAUGUGACUUUCCCAUUUAUUGGAAUGCUGUGCAGCCAUCCAUUACAAUGUCACCAAGCCGUAACAAAAGCAGGAGAGGGAAAGUACAAGGCUAUGUUCCCAAAACACACAAGUGACAUACUUUAUGUGGAUGAUGUGAUCAGGCUUGUGUUUGCUGAGGUAUUUGAAGAUAAGCUGAAGGAAACCCCGAUUCCAAUGGACCUGGCAUCACAGUUUGAGAGACCUUCAAAGGAGGACGUGAUUACAUGCCAUCUUCAGUGCAGGGGUCGUCGGAAGCCAACAUUCCGAUCAGGAAGCUCCAAGCAUAUCUGGAGAACAACACACGACAGGAUGAUAACCCUAAAGUGUCGUCUUAGAUAGCACCAGCUGACAAAGCUUUGAUAUGCCAUUUAUCUGAAUAGAUAGCUGUAAGAAGUGAAUUGAACAAUUUUUGAAAGAAGAGCACAAUAUGGUUACUAAAGUAUGUUUAUUUGUAUAUUGUUUAACAUUUAAAUAUAUAUUUGUAAUAAAUAAACUUUUGACUGACUACUA
This is a non-coding RNA of Misgurnus anguillicaudatus (oriental weatherfish), 950 nucleotides long. NCBI's taxonomy places the organism in Eukaryota, Metazoa, Chordata, Actinopteri, Cypriniformes, Cobitidae. The record is from RefSeq and is a predicted model, not a curated record.